AUUGAACGCUGGCGGCAUGCCUAACACAUGCAAGUCGAACGGAAACAGGACGCUGGGAUCCCUUCGGGGUGAACUUGUCGCUGUCGAGUGGCGGACGGGUGAGUAAUGCGUAGGAAUUUACCUCAAAGCGGGGGAUAGCCCGGAGAAAUCCGGAUUAAUACCGCAUGUGCUCUACGGAGGAAAGCGGGCCUCUACUUGUAAGCUCGCACUUUGAGAUAAGCCUACGUCGGAUUAGCUUGUUGGUAGGGUAAAGGCCUACCAAGGCGACGAUCCGUAGCUGGUUUGAGAGGAUGAUCAGCCACACCGGAACUGAGACACGGUCCGGACUCCUACGGGAGGCAGCAGUGGGGAAUAUUGGACAAUGGGCGCAAGCCUGAUCCAGCAAUGCCGCGUGUGUGAAGAAGGCCUUCGGGUUGUAAAGCACUUUCAGUAAGAAAGAAAAGCAGGGUGCUAAUACCACCUUGUCAUGACGUUACUUACAGAAGAAGCACCGGCUAACUCCGUG
RNAcentral lists this ribosomal RNA (505 nucleotides) under uncultured Gammaproteobacteria bacterium. RNAcentral's name for it is "bacterial SSU rRNA". It matches the Rfam family "Bacterial small subunit ribosomal RNA", at positions 30 to 507 of the family's 1533-position model. Lineage: Bacteria; Pseudomonadati; Pseudomonadota; Gammaproteobacteria. The record is from RNAcentral.